UACCAAUGAUGAUAAAAUUUGGGCUUGUUUCUCAAAAUAUUCGCUGUUAUCACAUAAGGUCUUUUGCCCUGCUAGGCUUGAGAGCUAAUGCUGUUAGAUCCCUCCUUGGAUGUCUGUGGGC
Small nucleolar RNA from Lolium perenne, 121 nucleotides. RefSeq annotates it as small nucleolar RNA SNORD14. NCBI's taxonomy places the organism in Eukaryota, Viridiplantae, Streptophyta, Magnoliopsida, Poales, Poaceae. The record is from RefSeq and is a predicted model, not a curated record.